Molecule: ribosomal RNA, 269 nt
Filed under: uncultured bacterium
Lineage: Bacteria
Description: partial 16S ribosomal RNA
Rfam family: Bacterial small subunit ribosomal RNA
Source: RNAcentral
UGAGGAAUAUUGCACAAUGGGCGCAAGCCUGAUGCAGCAACGCCGCGUGAGGGACGAAGGCCUUCGGGUCGUAAACCUCUUUUCUGGGGGACGAGUAAGGACGGUACCCCAGGAAUAAGUCUCGGCUAACUACGUGCCAGCAGCCGCGGUAAAACGUAGGAGGCGAGCGUUAUCCGGAUUUACUGGGCGUAAAGCGUACGCAGGUGGCUUCGUUAGUCGGACAUGAAAGCUCCUGGCUUAACUGGGAGAGGUUGUUCGAUACUGCGGGG